UACAUUAUUGUACAGACUUUUUAAAAUGGAAGUUUGUAUGUCUUGACCAAUGAAUGUAAUAAAGCUUGGCGAUUUUCCUUAGAAAUUCCAGGCUAUAAUGCGAUGUGAAGGUCUUUCCAUUUUUACAAGGAUUUGAAAAAGGAUGUCAUUAAUAAUUUUCCUGGGUGCUUACAAAGCAUGUGUCUGUCAGCAGAAUUAGAGAACUGCCCAACUAGAGAACAGGUUUCACAAUAGCCUGAGAUGAAUUCUGUUCAUCAGAGGAGAAAAUGGCUUGUUUUAAGCCUAAAUUGACAUGCUUGCUAAUUUCAGCAGUAGAAGCUGUUUCUUGUGGUCAGGAUUAAUUUAGAGUCUGGGAAAGUUCAAGUGAAAGUUGAUGGAGUUACUUUUAUAACACACUUCUCAAGGGAACUUGAAAAUCUCAAAAGUAAACAGAAGUAGAGCAAACAUCAAGUAAUAUACCUGCAAGUAAAAAGCAAAUACUGAUAUUAACAUUUGAGAGUGAACUAAUAUGAAAUCAAAGAAAAAUAAUCUAGUAGUUACUUCUUAUCCAAAACUUUUCAAGUAUUAAAAAUAACUUUCACUAUUUAUGUAACUAUAACAAAUACAUUGUUCACUGCUACAUCCAGAGCCCUUCGAAUAUGUAGAGUUUGAAAAACAUGUACUAAUAUGAAUGAAUAAUAUGGGUGCAUUUCUCUUUUGACUACAUGGAUUUGUUUCUUUAUCAAGUCUGAGUUGAGUAUUUGACUUUCUCUGUAGUUUCAGGGUAACAUUUUUAAAGUAUAUAACCUAUUAACUAUAAUCCUGCAGUUAAGAAGAGGUCAGCUCUCUGUGUCACAGAUUACCAACUUUAGCAUUCUAACACUGGAAUGUGUCUCGUUUUAUAAAAUCUGUCUGCAACUAUAGUUCCUAUUUUAAAAUUUGUCCAGCACUGUUCAAGUUACUUAUUCCACUUACUUCAAUAGCUGUCUUUGGCAAUUUGUUCCAUAUUUCAAACACACUUUUAUAUAAAGAAACCAUAAAAGUUAGAAACCUGAAAAUUGGAUUUUUCUUCUGAGCAAUCACAACUUACAAAUGUGGAAGAUUUGUUAAAAGCUAGCCCCUCUGAUUUUUCAAUGCACACAGAGAAAAAUGCUCUAAAUAAAUGUACAAUGUUUGAUCAAGUUUUCAUACUAUUUUAAUAUUAUCAGAAGCCACUGAGAUUAAAUCUGAAGCCUGAUCCCCUUACCUAUUCACAAAGGAAAUACGAAAGAAUGAUCCAGCUUUGCCCUUUCCAAAACCAAAAUCCUUAGAAAAUAAUUUUGAGUCAAAGGGCAUAAGAGAUAAGUAAGGUCCAGAUCUAUUACUAGCUACCAAAUUUCAUCUUUCAUUUUUUUAGCAUUGCAUUUGAAGUCUGACAAUUUCUAGUUUUGUUAUUAAGAGAACAAAAAUAAGAGAUAUACUGCAGCCAGGGGAGCAGGUAGUCUAACUGAAGUUCUUCACUUCUUCCUGUUCCAAAUCUAAUCCCCCAGUUGCAUCACUAACUCUGUAGCAGACUAUCUGCAGUAGCUUCUCUUCUCCCCAUACCCAGCUCUCCAGUGGAUCACACAAUCUUUCCCUACUAAUACCCCUCCCUCCACUCAUUGUUUUAUUCAUGCACUUUCUGGGAGCUCAUAGGCUACUCUGAGGAAGGAAACAGGUAGGCUAACUAAUGAUCAGAAAGGAAGCAGUCAAAGAAUCCUUAUUUCCAGAUGAUAUGAUUGUAUGAAUAAGUGACUCCCAAAAUUCUACCAGAGAACUCCUAGAGCUGAUAAACACCUUCCACAAAGUGGCUAGAUACACUCAAAGAAAUCAGUAGCCCUCCUACAUACAAAGGACAAAUGGACUGAGACAGCAUCAGGUUAGUAGCUCUGUCUCUGGGAGCUUCCUGGAGUCUGGGUUAGUUGAGACUGCUGGUCUUCCUAUGGAAACACUGCCUCCUUCAGCUUGUUCAAUCCUUCCCCUAAUUCAACCUAAUUAGGUGUCCCCAACUCCAGCUCAAUGAUUGGGUGUACAUACCUGCUUUGGAGGCAAGGGGGAAGAGGAAAGAGAUGAAAAUCUGUGGGAGGGAGCCCAAGGGAGUAACAAGACUCAAAUGU
RNAcentral lists this long non-coding RNA (2114 nucleotides) under Mus musculus (house mouse). RNAcentral's name for it is "long non-coding RNA chrX:84527720-84529834". The record is from RNAcentral. Lineage: Eukaryota; Metazoa; Chordata; Mammalia; Rodentia; Muridae.